Molecule: ribosomal RNA, 872 nt
Filed under: Periconia igniaria
Lineage: Eukaryota; Fungi; Ascomycota; Dothideomycetes; Pleosporales; Periconiaceae
Description: LSU rRNA
Rfam family: Eukaryotic large subunit ribosomal RNA
Source: RNAcentral
UUGCCCUAGUAACGGCGAGUGAAGCGGCAACAGCUCAAAUUUGAAAUCUGGCCCCUUUGGGGUCCGAGUUGUAAUUUGCAGAGGGUGCUUUGGCGUUGGCAGCGGUCUAAGUUCCUUGGAACAGGACAUCGCAGAGGGUGAGAAUCCCGUAUGUGGUCGCAUGCCUCCGCCGUGUAAAGCCCCUUCGACGAGUCGAGUUGUUUGGGAAUGCAGCUCUAAAUGGGAGGUAAAUUUCUUCUAAAGCUAAAUACCGGCCAGAGACCGAUAGCGCACAAGUAGAGUGAUCGAAAGAUGAAAAGCACUUUGGAAAGAGAGUCAAACAGCACGUGAAAUUGUUGAAAGGGAAGCGCUUGCAGCCAGACUUGCCUGUAGUUGCUCACCCGGGCUCCUGCCCGGGGCACUCUUCUGCAGGCAGGCCAGCAUCAGUUUGGGCGGUCGGAUAAAGGGCUCUGACACGUACUUCCCUUCGGGGUUGACAUACAGGGGAGCCGCAAUGCGAUCAGCCCGGACUGAGGUCCGCGCAUCUGCUAGGAUGCUGGCGUAAUGGCUGUAAGCGGCCCGUCUUGAAACACGGACCAAGGAGUCUAACAUCUAUGCGAGUGUUUGGGUGUCAAGCCCGAGCGCGUAAUGAAAGUGAACGGAGGUGGGAACCCCUUUCGGGGUGCACCAUCGACCGAUCCUGAUGUCUUCGGAUGGAUUUGAGUAAGAGCAUAGCUGUUGGGACCCGAAAGAUGGUGAACUAUGCUUGAAUAGGGUGAAGCCAGAGGAAACUCUGGUGGAGGCUCGCAGCGGUUCUGACGUGCAAAUCGAUCGUCAAAUUUGGGCAUAGGGGCGAAAGACUAAUCGAACUAUCUAGUAGCUGGUCUGCGGAG